Molecule: ribosomal RNA, 550 nt
Filed under: uncultured Glomeromycotina
Lineage: Eukaryota; Fungi; Glomeromycota
Description: SSU rRNA
Rfam family: Eukaryotic small subunit ribosomal RNA
Source: RNAcentral
UUGGAGGGCAAGUCUGGUGCCAGCAGCCGCGGUAAUUCCAGCUCCAAUAGCGUAUAUUAAAGUUGUUGCAGUUAAAAAGCUCGUAGUUGAAUUUCGGGAUCAAUGUUUCGGUCAUGCCGUUGGUAUGUACUGAUAUUAUUGAUUUCUCACCUUCUAAAGAACCGUAAUGCCAUUAAUUUGGUGUCACGGGGAAUUAGGACUGUUACCUUGAAAAAAUUAGAGUGUUUAAAGCAGGCUCACGCUUGAAUACAUUAGUAUGGAAUAAUGAAAUAGGACAUCCGAUUCUAUUUUGUUGGUUUCUAGGAUCGAUGUAAUGAUUAAUAGGGAUAGUUGGGGGCAUUAGUAUUCAAUUGUCAGAGGUGAAAUUCUUGGAUUUAUUGAAGACUAACUACUGCGAAAGCAUUUGCCAAGGAUGUUUUCAUUAAUCAAGAACGAAAGUUAGGGGAUCGAAGACGAUCAGAUACCGUCGUAGUCUUAAUCAUAAACUAUGCCGACUAGGGAUCGGAUGAUGUUAAUUUUUUAAUGACUCAUUCGGCGCCUUACGGGAAAC